This 2167-nucleotide long non-coding RNA is filed under the name Linum usitatissimum (flax). Its description in RNAcentral is "long non-coding RNA (LUSI_LNC005036)". Lineage: Eukaryota; Viridiplantae; Streptophyta; Magnoliopsida; Malpighiales; Linaceae. The record is from RNAcentral.
GUAGUGCUGCUCUCUCCUGGCUGCCGCUCGGCUUCCAGUUGUUAUAGUCAUCGUUGCUGGUCCUCGAUUGAAUGUGGUUGUUGGAGUAUUGAGAUUGGUGUUGGGAGAGGGCUUAAUUGGAUGUGGUGGUAGAUGUCGACUAGGUUGUUGGCGAAGUUGCGAUUGGAAACUCCCUUACGGAGUUGCAGCAGAAAACUCUCUAAACAGAGAGACGGGCAGUUAGGGCAUCCAUGACACAUCCUGAAAAUUAGUAUGAUUAUUCAUACUUAGACGUGAGUAUCUUUUAUUGUAAGUAUUGAAAUUGUGUAUAUUUUGUGAUGUUUUUGAAUUUGGUUUAGUGCGUUUUAAAUUUCAGUUUAAUUUUUAUUAUAAAUUAACUUAAGAGAAACAAGGGACUUUUUUCCUUCUAGUUCAUAGUACUAAAUCAUAAACAACAUUUGGAUGUUUUUAUAAUUCAAAUUAAUAAUAUUUGAAUUUUUACUCUUUUUUUUAACUAAAUAUUUUAUAAAAUUUAAUUAAGUACUAUUUAUAAUCAACAGACUAAUAAUACCGCAAAAAAUCCUAUUAUAUUAGAAUUUAAUCAAAAUAGACCAAUUUAGAAAGUACAUCGCGUAUGGCACACAUCAAAAUAUGUUUUAACUAAAAGGACAAUAAAUAUUUUUUAAUAUAUAUUAAAUUGGAAAAAUUAGACUUUUACAAAUGGUCAAUAUUAAAAAAAAUUGAGUUCAAAAUUGGUUCAGUAUAUAUUUAAUUAAGGAAUUAUAGUUACGCCAGAAUAUGAUUAUCAAUUUUUUUAGGCAUAAAUAGGCUCCUUACGGAGACAAAAAGAUAGCACACAAAAAAUCAAAAAUACCUAAUCAACCUACAGAGCGAGGACUAUUGACAACACUCUGGGUAGAUAUCUAAGGGUCAUGUGAGCCACGCAAUGGGCGACCCCAUUACCUGACCUCCGAACAAACUCAAGAUGACUGUUUGAAAACGGAUCUCUGAUAGGGAAUAAAGAGCCGACAUAUCCAUCCGAUUGCCAAGCUCGAGAGGUCGGCGUUGAUGUGGGGCCACCACUCCCGCAUCGUCUCCUUCAAAGUCUAUCCAACCUGACGAACUUUUAUCCGCGGGAUGACCCACUGCCUCAGCGUCCCCUUCGGCCUUCGAUGUCUGUGAUAAAGCUAGUAAUCGAUGUGCCUCCAUUGACAUCGUGGCCCCCACUCCUUGCCAAGUGCUGCAAAUGAAAGUUGCAAACUCUGUUUGCUCAUUGAACAUUUGAUUGUUCGAUAAUUCCCGUCAUCUAACCACCACAUGCGCAUACUAGAGGAGGAGAACUGUAUUGUGAACAAACAGGGGUAGGUCGUACCAAUCAGGUGUAGAAUAGCCCAUGUAGUUACAAACUAAUAUUGAGCAUGAUAACAAUACAAGGCAUGUAAAUAACUACUCAAAACAAAAUAGAGUUUAACUUCCUGGGAUGAAGUGAGAGAUCCCUAACAAUUGUCAUGAGACAAUUCUAUGAGCAAUAUGAACUGCUUUAUUAGUAGUACCUGCAGCUAUAUGAUAGCGUGGAAAAUAUCGUGGCAACAAAGAAGGAAGAAGAGUCUAUAAAAAAAACAAAGGAAGAAGAGGGAGGAAAAAAAAGACUUGCCAACCAGUACCACCUUUAGAAAUCCAAGCCGCCGCCGUCACUACUACUCCCACUUUCGCUUCUCUCACUACUGCUAUCAUUAACGCUGUCGUAUCUCUUGCUCAAGUCAUGCCUUGGUAAUUGUCAAUGAUGUGUGAUUCAACAAAUACCAAACGAGUAUUGAUUGAUGAACAAGAAUAUAUAGAAAAUCAGUAACUGUCCCCUCAAUCAUGCGGGAAAAUUAUGAAGCCUGGUCCGAUGAUGGUGUCAGGUCGGUAAAAGGAAUAACCGUUGGUGCACAAGGCAAAGACCAACUGAAGUAAGAUCCGAUGGUAAGGCCACAAAUGACAAAGGAUGGGGAUGGUGGACAGGAGAAGGGUGGAAGGAGACAACCCGAGAGAUGCCGGCGGAAGUACGGGAGCAGUUGAGUAGCAACCGCCUCAGAGAACUUCACAAACCAUUAACUAUUUUUACUAUUUUAUGUAAUAAAGUGACUCAUGUACAACACUUAAUAUUUAUUUUCAAAUUUCCUUUGUAAUUUAAAAUAUAUCAAAA